GGCGGAUUCAGAGGGGGGCGUAGAGGGCGUACGCCCCCCCCCCCCCUUUUGCUUGGACUUUUUUUUUUUUUUUUGGAAAAUAAUUAACUAGACUAGACUAAGUGAAAUUUGCCAUUUCCCGUGUAUUUUGUUUUUAUGCGACAAUUCGUUACUUAUACAGAUAUAUUUUACUCGUAUUUACUGUAAUAUGUUAUUGGUCAGUAUGUCAAAGUCAUGUGAUUCGCUACGCUGGAGUUAACCAGUGCGUCGAAAAACGUCACUCAGUCAUUUCCAAAUUCAAAUUACAGUAACAAAUUGCUUAUGCUGCUCAUCAAGGGUGACAAGCAUGACA
RNAcentral lists this long non-coding RNA (331 nucleotides) under Mytilus galloprovincialis (Mediterranean mussel). The record is from RNAcentral. Lineage: Eukaryota; Metazoa; Mollusca; Bivalvia; Mytilida; Mytilidae.